This 206-nucleotide ribosomal RNA is filed under the name Lactobacillus gallinarum. Its description in RNAcentral is "partial 16S ribosomal RNA". It matches the Rfam family "Bacterial small subunit ribosomal RNA", at positions 1328 to 1533 of the family's 1533-position model. Lineage: Bacteria; Bacillati; Bacillota; Bacilli; Lactobacillales; Lactobacillaceae. The record is from RNAcentral.
UGAAUCGCUAGUAAUCGCGGAUCAGCACGCCGCGGUGAAUACGUUCCCGGGCCUUGUACACACCGCCCGUCACACCAUGGAAGUCUGCAAUGCCCAAAGCCGGUGGCCUAACCUUCGGGAAGGAGCCGUCUAAGGCAGGGCAGAUGACUGGGGUGAAGUCGUAACAAGGUAGCCGUAGGAGAACCUGCGGCUGGAUCACCUCCUUU